AGUCCAACGAGGUUUGCGUCAGUUUGCGGUGGUGCUUGCAUCUCCAAUUACGGAACAAACCGAGUGGCGGACGGGUGAGUAACACGUGGGUAACCUGCCCUUCAGCAGGGGAUCACAUUUGGAAACAGAUGCUAAUACCGUAUAACCACGGAGACCGCAUGGUCUCCGGGUAAAAGAUGGCGCACGCUAUCACUGAAGGAUGGACCCGCGGCGUAUUACCCAGUUGGUGGGGUAACGGCCUACCAAAGCGAUGAUACCUCGCCCACCUGAUAGGGUAAUCGGCCACAUUGGGACUGACACACGGCCCAUUCUCCUACGGGAGGCAGCAGUAGGGAAUCUUCCACAAUGGACGCAAGUCUGAUGGAGCAACGCCCCGUGAGUGAAGAAGGCUUUUGGGUAGUACAACUCUGUUAUUGAAAAAGAACGUGUGAGACAAAAACUGGACCUGCAGUGACGGUAUUCAAUCUCAAAGUCAGGAUAACUAUUCGCCACUGCUCCGAAUUAAAACAUAUGUUGCAAGGCUUGUCCGGAUUUCUUGGGAUUAGAGUGAGUGCCAGCGUUCUUUUAAUUCUGAUGAGGAAGGCUUCCUCUUGCGCUAACAGCGGCAUCGAACUGCGGAAACCUUGAGAGCAUUAGAAGACAUUGGAAAUCGCUGUGAAUCGCAGAAGUGCGAAUAUAGAUGGGAAAACACGUUUGCCAGCCGCAGCUCCAUUGACUGACGCUAAGCCGAGGUCCAAACUCGUGCUGUCCAAAAAGAUAAGAUUUUCAGCGAUACCACGGGGAUACAAUCU
RNAcentral lists this ribosomal RNA (791 nucleotides) under Lactobacillus sp. 211. Its description in RNAcentral is "bacterial SSU rRNA". It matches the Rfam family "Bacterial small subunit ribosomal RNA", at positions 60 to 810 of the family's 1533-position model. The record is from RNAcentral. Lineage: Bacteria; Bacillati; Bacillota; Bacilli; Lactobacillales; Lactobacillaceae.